UGAGGAAUAUUGGUCAAUGGACGGAAGUCUGAACCAGCCAUGCCGCGUGAAGGAUGAAGGCGUUCUGCGUUGUAAACUUCUUUUAUUUGAGAAGAAACCACUGAUUUCUAUUAGUGUUGACGGUAUCAGAUGAAUAAGCACCGGCUAACUCCGUGCCAGCAGCCGCGGUAAUACGGAGGGUGCAAGCGUUAUCCGGAUUUACUGGGUUUAAAGGGUGUGUAGGCGGACUUUUAAGUCAGGGGUGAAAUCUCCGAGCUCAACUCGGAAACUGCCUUUGAUACUAUUAGUCUUGAAUUAUGUUGAGGUUGGCGGAAUAUAACAUGUAGCGGUGAAAUGCAUAGAUAUGUUAUAGAACACCGAUUGCGAAGGCAGCUGGCUAAACAUAUAUUGACGCUGAGGCACGAAAGCGUGGGUAGCGAACAGG
RNAcentral lists this ribosomal RNA (424 nucleotides) under uncultured bacterium. RNAcentral describes it as "bacterial SSU rRNA". It matches the Rfam family "Bacterial small subunit ribosomal RNA", at positions 355 to 776 of the family's 1533-position model. The record is from RNAcentral.